AAUGACUAUAAAAGCUUCCCCCUGUGACUCACACUUGGAGAUCUCCCCACGGACAGAAGACGGAUCCAUUGGCCAGACGCCACGCCACGAGGACGCCUCUGCCGUUGACUUCACAACCGCGCUGCUGAAUCAAUGGAGUUUUCUUGACGACGAUCGUGAGUCACGGGGUGGUGUGAGAGUCGGGGCCCGAGGGUCCCUGGUUUUGCCUCACGACCUUCGUCAAGGUCCCCUGUCAAGGAAGGGACUGUGUGCAAGGGGCUCGGGCCUAACCCAUGGUGUGUGUGUGUACCAAGCACUGAACUGCAGGUGUGACUACUGGACCGGAGCUGGCUCCCAUGGGAACUUGUACGAAGACAAUGGACGGCUGGACAGCCUGUGCUUACCUGCAACCAGGCCCAGACCUGCUUGGCCCAGACCUGCUCGAUCUAAACGGUUGCACCUGGUUCCCAGAGCAACGGGGCUCCUCACAAUGACUUUCGGGUGCUCCCUCCCGCUUCUGCCCGCCUUG
Molecule: long non-coding RNA, 508 nt
Organism: Prinia subflava (tawny-flanked prinia)
Lineage: Eukaryota; Metazoa; Chordata; Aves; Passeriformes; Cisticolidae
Exons: 2
Source: RefSeq, a predicted model, not a curated record